RNAcentral lists this long non-coding RNA (741 nucleotides) under Androctonus crassicauda. Lineage: Eukaryota; Metazoa; Arthropoda; Arachnida; Scorpiones; Buthidae. The record is from RNAcentral.
UUAUUUUGUAUAAAAAAUAAUAAAAAUCCAUCUUGUAGUACUUAGGAUGGCAAAGGAUGCUAGUAGCACUGGUAAACACAGUGCUGCUAGCAUCCUUGCCCUCCUGUCAUAUUGCUAUACAUGCAAGAACAGUCAUUGAACAGUGUUCCAUUAUGAUUUAUAUGCAAGUUGCACCAGUAGUAGUAUGUUUGUAUUACUUAUCAUAUUUGUUCUAUCUCUGUAAAUAUUUGAAUGUUACAGUUAGACAUAAUAUUUAUUUAUAGUUUUCAUUUUAGAACAUUAUUGGGGCUAUUGACAAUUAUCAAUAAUAAAUAUUAUUUCACAAAACAAAACAAGAAAAAUAUAUACAGUAUUAUUUUUAAGUAAUUUUGAGUUAUACCAAAUUAUAAUUUUAUCGAUAACAAAUAAUAUUUUUUCAUGUUUAAUUUGUUUUUUAAUUCUUACCAUAAUUUUGAUAUUUUAUCCAAACAUGUAUACACAGUAUUUAUAGUGUGUAUGUAUAUUUUGAAAGUUGCAGUACUCCUACAGUUUCAAGCCACAGGCCACUGCUGAAAAUCAUUGACACAAAGCUAUGUCAGAUGAAGUGGUAUAUCAGAUAAUCAAAAUUUGAAUAAUUUGGAGCUUUUACAGUAAUGCCUUUAUAGAUUAGCUUUAAAUCUUUGAGUUUCUUAAUACUUCAAGAUGAAAUUUUAAAAUUCUGAUCAUUAGCAGUUUUAAGUUAAUUGAAUGACAAUUCUGAAA